Long non-coding RNA from Pseudophryne corroboree (corroboree frog), 2402 nucleotides. RefSeq lists it as uncharacterized. The record is from RefSeq and is a predicted model, not a curated record. The transcript is spliced from 3 exons. NCBI's taxonomy places the organism in Eukaryota, Metazoa, Chordata, Amphibia, Anura, Myobatrachidae.
UUUAUGCACUAUCCAGCUCUUGCUAACAAAAAUGCCAAGUGAGUGUAACUGACCUUUCAGUAGGGCAGAUGCUUAAUGGAAUUAGGUAAUUUCAAUCACUCGUCUACCUGCCUCUCCCUGACAAGCACACAUUCCAUGAGAGAUGCUGCGUGUUAAACACUUAAUGCUGGAGGUAAACAAAGAGCUUGUUUCUUGCAGACAAACACAAUAUAGAAGAACUUACUUAGACGCUGUCUCCUUAUCAUAUUGGCACCGCAGGUCAAGCAGCUCCCUCUGUGUUGUCUUCAGUGCUGCACAACAGAAGCAUCGGUUGAAACGGUCUGCUUUUCCAGUUCGGAAAGAGAUUAAUAACCAGGUCAAAUAGCAAAAGUCUAUUUCAAGAGCCAUCGAAAUAGAAGAUGAGAGGCCAUUAAUUUUAUCUUUUGUCACAUCUGUCUCUAUGACUCUUUGUAUGAAUAUUAACAAGACGAAACAGUUUGUUUUCGUCAAACUGUACCAAUAGUGACGCCAAGAAUGUUUAAUACAGAACCAAAGACUGAAGUGUAGCAGAUCAAGGCUACCAACCAGGGAUGGAAAAUCUCAGACUGACCUGAAUGAAGAACCUUGAUCUUUUCUUCAGCCUCACCAAGUCUGACCGCCAAGGUCUCCUGUUAUAACUAAAGCUGAAAGACAAGGACACAACAACAUAGUUCUGUCUAGGCAGAGGAAAGAGACAACUCAUUAAUGUUUUAGCCAAUUAACUAGGGCCACACCUGUAAGCCUUCAAUUGGCAAAGACUUUUGUCAAAUAUUGAUGUACAGAACUUCCAGGAAUAACAGAAGGUACACCGGAGCUAUGGCAGCUUAGUAAUAUACAGUAUAAACCUAAAAGACAACAGGUAAUAAUAAAAUAAAAUGUAGAAUAUAUUGCUUGAGCACAGUUGACUUAAUUAGGACCUGUCAAUUUGAUUUAACCAUCUGGACUCAAGCAUGGAUACUUUUAAAACCUGGACUGUAUAGGCAGAGUUUGGGAAACUCUGGAUUAUAGUAAUAUUUCAAACUAAUUGCUUUCUUGAAUUAGCAUCACACAUGUCUUCAAUAUUCUAGUCAAUCAUUCAGCCUUUUUAAAUGAGGAAAAAUGUAGUCACUUCACUGUUUGGUAUCAUCAUGUGCACCACACUGAACAUUGAUCAGAGAAAGCAAACAGGGAGUUGUCUGAGGUGAUCAAAAAGAAAACUAUACACACGCUCAUUAAAGUUAAAGGCUAAAAGAUCAUGUCCAAGCAGCAUAUUGAUCCUGAGACUACAGUUGCAAAUUUUAUUAAGAAGUUUAAAAUCCAUGAAACUGUAGCCAACCUAGCUGGAUGUGGCAAGAGGAAAAUUGACCACAGAUUAAACAGAAGGACAGUAAACAUGGUUGCUAAAGAGCCAAGGAAAACUUCCAAAGAGAUACUGUACAAGCCGAACUUGAAGGUCAAGGUACGUCUGUGUCUGAUCGCACUAUUCAACACUCAUUUAGCAACAGUGGGCUCCAUGGAAGAAGGACCAGACAGAUUGGAAUUUUCUAAAAUGCAUAUUGAUCGGAACUGGAGCUUUUUGGCAAAUCAUAUCAGCUCAUUGUUCACAAAUGAAAAAAAAAAAAAAGAUUUCAAAGAAAAGAACACCAUAUAGAUAUGUCCUCCUACAUCCUUGCUGCAGUCACAUUUAACAGACCUUCUAGUCGCGCCAAAGUCUUGAGCAUGUUUACUAACACCGGGCAUGUGUUUGUGCAUUUUCUUCUGAAAAUGCAUCUUAUUCACAUGCUCCAUAUCAUUUUAAUCAGUACAGCUAUGCGAAUAAGACGCAUUUUUGUCAAAAAAGUUUGCUGACGUUAGCAGAGAUGCCCGGGAACUGCUGGCUCACUUACGCCAGGAAUCUCAAGGUGCAUGGCGUAUAGAGGCUAGAUGUAUGAGGACACAUCUGUAUCUGUAACAUGUCGACAGUUCGGUUACGUUUUGGGGCUGCUUUGCUGCGUCUGGCACAGUAUAUCUUGAAUCUAUGCAGGACACAAGGAAAUGUCAAGACUAUCAAGGCAUUUUGGAGUGAAACAUACUGCCCAGUGUGAGAAAGCUCUGUCUCAGACGCAGGUCAUGAGUCCUCCAACAGUAUAACAACCCAAAACACACAGCUAAAAGCACCCAAGAAUGGAUAAGAACAAGACAUUGGACUAUUCUGAAUUGGCCUUCUAUGAGCCCUGAUCUGAAUCCUAUCAAACAUCUAUGGAAAGAGCUGAAACAUGUAGUCUGAAGAAGGCAACAAUAACACCUGAAACAGCUGCAGCAAUUUGGCACGGAAGAAUGGACCAAACUACCUGUUGUCAGUUACAAAAGUCUUCCUGAGAGCUACAGAAAUUACUUGAUUGCAGUAAUUGUCUACAGUAUAAAGA